This 492-nucleotide ribosomal RNA is filed under the name uncultured bacterium. RNAcentral's name for it is "partial 16S ribosomal RNA". It matches the Rfam family "Bacterial small subunit ribosomal RNA", at positions 29 to 507 of the family's 1533-position model. The record is from RNAcentral.
AGUGAACGCUGGCGGUAGGCCUAACACAUGCAAGUCGAACGGCAGCACAGUAAGCGCUUGCUCUUACGGGUGGCGAGUGGCGGACGGGUGAGGAAUACAUCGGAAUCUACUUUUUCGUGGGGGAUAACGUAGGGAAACUUACGCUAAUACCGCAUACGACCUACGGGUGAAAGCAGGGGAUCUUCGGACCUUGCGCGAUUGAUUGAGCCGAUGUCGGAUUAGCUAGUUGGCGGGGUAAAGGCCCACCAAGGCGACGAUCCGUAGCUGGUCUGAGAGGAUGAUCAGCCACACUGGAACUGAGACACGGUCCAGACUCCUACGGGAGGCAGCAGUGGGGAAUAUUGGACAAUGGGCGCAAGCCUGAUCCAGCCAUACCGCGUGGGUGAAGAAGGCCUUCGGGUUGUAAAGCCCUUUUGUUGGGAAAGAAAAGCAGCAGGUUAAUACCCCGCUGUUCUGACGGUACCCAAAGAAUAAGCACCGGCUAACUUCGUG